CGCUCAGGUGCGAAAGCGUGGGGAGCAAACAGGAUUAGAUACCCUGUUAGUCCACGCCGUAAACGAUGUCGAUUUGGAGGUUGUUCCCUUGAGGAGUGGCUUCCGGAGCUAACGCGUUAAAUCGACCGCGUGGGGAGUACGGCCGCAAGGGUAAAACUCAAAUGAAUUGACGGGGGCCCGCACAAGCGGUGGAGCAUGUGGUUUAAUUCGAUGCAACGCGAAGAACCUUACCUACUCUUGACAUCCAGAGAAUUUAGCAGAGAUGCUUUAGUGCCUUCGGGAACUCUGAGACGGGUGCUGCAUGGCUGUCGUCAGCUCGUGUUGUGAAAUGUUGGGUUAAGUCCCGCAACGAGCGCAACCCUUAUCCUUUGUUGCCAGCACAUUAUGGUGGGAACUCAAAGGAGACUGCCGGUGAUAAACCGGAGGAAGGUGGGGAUGACGUCAAGUCAUCAUGGCCCUUACGAGUAGGGCUACACACGUGCUACAAUGGCGUAUACAAAGAGAAGCGACCUCGCGAGAGCAAGCGGAACUCAUAAAGUACGUCGUAGUCCGGAUUGGAGUCUGCAACUCGACUCCAUGAAGUCGGAAUCGCUAGUAAUCGUAGAUCAGAAUGCUACGGUGAAUACGUUCCCGGGCCUUGUACACACCGCCCGUCACACCAUGGGAGUGGGUUGCAAAAGAAGUAGGUAGCUUAACCUUCGGGAGGGCGCUUACCACUUUGUGAUUCAUGACUGGGGUGAAGUCGUAACAAGGUAACCA
Molecule: ribosomal RNA, 759 nt
Filed under: uncultured Providencia sp.
Lineage: Bacteria; Pseudomonadati; Pseudomonadota; Gammaproteobacteria; Enterobacterales; Morganellaceae
Description: bacterial SSU rRNA
Rfam family: Bacterial small subunit ribosomal RNA
Source: RNAcentral